Molecule: long non-coding RNA, 223 nt
Filed under: Populus trichocarpa (black cottonwood)
Lineage: Eukaryota; Viridiplantae; Streptophyta; Magnoliopsida; Malpighiales; Salicaceae
Description: long non-coding RNA (PTRI_LNC004351)
Source: RNAcentral
UGGAUAGUAGCUUGUUGAUGUUGCAUAUAAUAGAAAGAAAAACAAAAUAAAAUAUCUUAAUUCUCUAGCUUAAAUAACCCUUGGCCGAUAUCCACCUUCCUAGAUACUCUAGGAUCGCUUAGCCAACUUUUAAAGUCAUUUAGAUGCUAGAAAAUCUUAUAUGAAUAGGAAUUUAAUUGUUGAAGUCUUCUUUCCUUGUAUAUGAAUAGGAAUUUAAUUGUUG